Non-coding RNA from Puma concolor (puma), 222 nucleotides. The record is from RefSeq and is a predicted model, not a curated record. Lineage: Eukaryota; Metazoa; Chordata; Mammalia; Carnivora; Felidae.
AGGCAUCUACCCCCGGCCGAGGCCACCCCCGCGCCCCCAGCCCGGCGGUUCCGACAGCGGUGGAGGUUACUUUGGGAACAGGGACCAGGAUGACGGCCGCUACCCGCCCAGGCCCAGGCCGCCCGCAGCUGGCGGUGGUGGCUACUAUCCCAACAAUGACGGCCACGGAAACGCCUAUGGAGGAGGGCGUUCUAGACCCAACUCUUACGGAAAUAAUUAUGG